This is a non-coding RNA of Podarcis lilfordi (Lilford's wall lizard), 74 nucleotides long. The record is from the annotation of a GenBank genome assembly. NCBI's taxonomy places the organism in Eukaryota, Metazoa, Chordata, Lepidosauria, Squamata, Lacertidae.
GGAGGGCUGUAGCUUCGUGGUAGAGCAUCUGCUUUGCACACAGAAGGUCUCUGGUUCAAUCCUCAUCAUUUCCA